This 235-nucleotide long non-coding RNA is filed under the name Elaeis guineensis (African oil palm). Its description in RNAcentral is "long non-coding RNA (EGUI_LNC009766)". The record is from RNAcentral. Lineage: Eukaryota; Viridiplantae; Streptophyta; Magnoliopsida; Arecales; Arecaceae.
AGUUGGUUUUCAUUUGAAUUGAAAUUUGAUUUGAAUUCAAAUGUGCAACCACUUAUCUUUAUCCUCUCACGCGGAUAAGACACGUUCGACGUUGUUUUAAAAAGAGGAGAAAGGUGGGAUGUGCGUAAAAAUUUUAGGAGAGAAACUUUGGGGCGUGAGGAAAGUUUGUGCGCAAGGUGAAGGUCCAAAACCUUCCGAGAGAAAAAGAAAGAAAAGAAAGAAAAUUGAGCACAGG